RNAcentral lists this ribosomal RNA (253 nucleotides) under uncultured bacterium. RNAcentral's name for it is "partial 16S ribosomal RNA". It matches the Rfam family "Bacterial small subunit ribosomal RNA", at positions 524 to 776 of the family's 1533-position model. The record is from RNAcentral.
UACGGGGGGGGCAAGCGUUGUUCGGAAUUACUGGGCGUAAAGCGCGUGUAGGCGGCUUUGCAAGUCGGGUGUGAAAGCCCUCAGCUCAACUGAGGAAGUGCGCCCGAAACUGCAGAGCUUGAGUGCCGGAGAGGGUGGCGGAAUUCCCCAAGUAGAGGUGAAAUUCGUAGAUAUGGGGAGGAACACCGGUGGCGAAGGCGGCCACCUGGACGGUAACUGACGCUGAGACGCGAAAGCGUGGGGAGCAAACAGG